Molecule: ribosomal RNA, 440 nt
Filed under: uncultured bacterium
Lineage: Bacteria
Description: bacterial SSU rRNA
Rfam family: Bacterial small subunit ribosomal RNA
Source: RNAcentral
CCUACGGGGGGCAGCAGUGGGGAAUAUUGGACAAUGGGCGAAAGCCUGAUCCAGCAAUGCCGCGUGAGUGAUGAAGGCCUUAGGGUUGUAAAGCUCUUUUACCAGGGAUGAUAAUGACAGUACCUGGAGAAUAAGCUCCGGCUAACUCCGUGCCAGCAGCCGCGGUAAUACGGAGGGAGCUAGCGUUGUUCGGAAUUACUGGGCGUAAAGCGUGCGUAGGCGGUUAUUCAAGUCAGAGGUGAAAGCCUGGAGCUCAACUCCAGAACUGCCUUUGAAACUAGAUAGCUAGAAUCUUGGAGAGGUUAGUGGAAUUCCGAGUGUAGAGGUGAAAUUCGUAGAUAUUCGGAAGAACACCAGUGGCGAAGGCGACUAACUGGACAAGUAUUGACGCUGAGGUACGAAAGCGUGGGGAGCAAACAGGAUUAGAUACCCUAGUAGUC